UGCCAGCAGCCGCGGUAAUACGGAGGGAUCUAGCGUUAUUCGGAAUUACUGGGCGUAAAGAGUUCGUAGGUGGUUGAAAAAGUUGGUGGUGAAAUCCCAGAGCUUAACUCUGGAACUGCCAUCAAAACUUUUCAGCUAGAGUAUGAUAGAGGAAAGCAGAAUUUCUAGUGUAGAGGUGAAAUUCGUAGAUAUUAGAAAGAAUACCAAUUGCGAAGGCGCUCUACUGGAUCAUUACUGACACUCAGAGGCGAAAGCUAGGGUAGCAAAAGGGAUUAGAUA
RNAcentral lists this ribosomal RNA (279 nucleotides) under uncultured bacterium. Its description in RNAcentral is "partial 16S ribosomal RNA". It matches the Rfam family "Bacterial small subunit ribosomal RNA", at positions 506 to 784 of the family's 1533-position model. The record is from RNAcentral.